GGCCCCGUCGUCUAGAGGCCUAGGACGCCGCCCUCUCAAGGCGGUAGCGCGGGUUCAAAUCCCGUCGGGGCUA
RNAcentral lists this transfer RNA (73 nucleotides) under Actinomycetota bacterium. RNAcentral's name for it is "tRNA-Glu". It matches the Rfam family "tRNA". From Rfam's summary of the family: Transfer RNA (tRNA) molecules are approximately 80 nucleotides in length. Their secondary structure includes four short double-helical elements and three loops (D, anti-codon, and T loops). Lineage: Bacteria; Bacillati; Actinomycetota. The record is from RNAcentral.